RNAcentral lists this ribosomal RNA (463 nucleotides) under uncultured bacterium. RNAcentral describes it as "bacterial SSU rRNA". It matches the Rfam family "Bacterial small subunit ribosomal RNA", at positions 335 to 796 of the family's 1533-position model. The record is from RNAcentral.
ACUCCUACGGGAGGCAGCAGUGGGAAUAUUGGACAAUGGGCGGGAGCCUGAUCCAGCCAUGCCGCGUGCAGGAAGACUGCCCUAUGGGUUGUAAACUGCUUUUGUACAGGAAGAAACACCUCCCUCGUGAGGAGUCUGACGGUACUGUAAGAAUAAGGAUCGGCUAACUCCGUGCCAGCAGCCGCGGUAAUACGGAGGAUCCAAGCGUUAUCCGGAAUCAUUGGGUUUAAAGGGUCCGUAGGUGGAUGAUUAAGUCAGAGGUGAAAUCCUGCAGCUCAACUGUAGAAUUGCCUUUGAUACUGGUUGUCUUGAAUUAUUGUGAAGUAGUUAGAAUAUGUGGUGUAGCGGUGAAAUGCAUAGAUAUCACAUAGAAUACCGAUUGCGAAGGCAGAUUACUAACAAUACAUUGACACUGAUGGACGAAAGCGUGGGGAGCGAACAGGAUUAGAUACCCUGUAGGUGA